RNAcentral lists this long non-coding RNA (221 nucleotides) under Solanum tuberosum (potato). Its description in RNAcentral is "long non-coding RNA (STUB_LNC006555)". Lineage: Eukaryota; Viridiplantae; Streptophyta; Magnoliopsida; Solanales; Solanaceae. The record is from RNAcentral.
AUUGCAUAAGAAAGUUAGUACCAAAAAAAUAUAAAUUUUAUGAGAAGUGUUUGAAUGGAUCUAGAAAUCAAAAUGGGUCACUCAAAAUUUAAGAAAGUUUACAUUUGCCAAAUCGACACCACUAAUAUAGAGUGAAAUCGACGUCAAUAAAAUGACAUUGGUAUUGAAUUUUACGGAUUAGUAAAAGACUAGUGAAAUGAAAAUAGUGAAUAGAGGUGGGG